GUUGUAGCCCAGUCGGUAGAGCGUCGAAAUUGUAAUCCAAGGGUCGCGGGUUUGAUUCCCGCCUAGUUCA
Molecule: non-coding RNA, 70 nt
Organism: Potamilus streckersoni
Lineage: Eukaryota; Metazoa; Mollusca; Bivalvia; Unionida; Unionidae
Source: the annotation of a GenBank genome assembly